Molecule: transfer RNA, 74 nt
Filed under: Solanum tuberosum (potato)
Lineage: Eukaryota; Viridiplantae; Streptophyta; Magnoliopsida; Solanales; Solanaceae
Rfam family: tRNA
About the family: Transfer RNA (tRNA) molecules are approximately 80 nucleotides in length.
Source: Rfam by way of RNAcentral
GGGAUUAUAGUUUAACUGGUUGAAAUGUACUGUUCAUAACGGUGAUAAUGUAGGUUUGAACCCUACUAUGCCUA